GGAAUAUUGGACAAUGGGCGAAAGCCUGAUCCAGCCAUGCCGCGUGUGUGAAGAAGGUCUUCGGAUUGUAAAGCACUUUAAGUUGGGAGGAAGGGCAUUAACCUAAUACGUUAGUGUUUUGACGUUACCGACAGAAUAAGCACCGGCUAACUCUGUGCCAGCAGCCGCGGUAAUACAGAGGGUGCAAGCGUUAAUCGGAAUUACUGGGCGUAAAGCGCGCGUAGGUGGUUCGUUAAGUUGGAUGUGAAAUCCCCGGGCUCAACCUGGGAACUGCAUUCAAAACUGUCGAGCUAGAGUAUGGUAGAGGGUGGUGGAAUUUCCUGUGUAGCGGUGAAAUGCGUAGAUAUAGGAAGGAACACCAGUGGCGAAGGCGACCACCUGGACUGAUACUGACACUGAGGUGCGAAAGCGUGGGGAGCAAACAGGAUUAGAUACCCUUG
This 440-nucleotide ribosomal RNA is filed under the name uncultured Pseudomonas sp. RNAcentral's name for it is "bacterial SSU rRNA". It matches the Rfam family "Bacterial small subunit ribosomal RNA", at positions 358 to 790 of the family's 1533-position model. The record is from RNAcentral. Lineage: Bacteria; Pseudomonadati; Pseudomonadota; Gammaproteobacteria; Pseudomonadales; Pseudomonadaceae.